This 468-nucleotide ribosomal RNA is filed under the name uncultured bacterium. RNAcentral describes it as "partial 16S ribosomal RNA". It matches the Rfam family "Bacterial small subunit ribosomal RNA", at positions 28 to 507 of the family's 1533-position model. The record is from RNAcentral.
GACGAACGCUGGCGGCGUGCUUAACACAUGCAAGUCGAACGGGAAGGCCCUGCUUUUGGGGGGUGCGCGAGGGGCGAAGGGGUGAGUAACACGUGAGUAACCUGCCCUUGACUUUGGGGUAACUUCAGGAAACUGGGGGUAAUAGCGGAUAGGAGCUAUUGCUGCAGGGUGGGGGUGGGAAAGUUUCGGCGGUUGGGGAUGGACUCGCGGCUUAUGAGCUUGUUGGGGGGGUAGUGGAUUACCAAGACUUUGACGGGUAGCCGGCCUGAGCGGGUGACCGGCCACAUUGGGACUGAGAUACGGCACAGACUCCUCCGGGAGGCAGCACUGGGGUAUAUUGCACAAUGGGAGGAAGCCUGAUGCAGCACAGCCGCGUGCGGGAUGACGGCCUUCGGGUUGUAUACCGAUUUCGCCUGUGCCGAAGCGUGAGUGACGGUAAUGGGUAAAGAAGCACCGGCUAACUACGUG